RNAcentral lists this unclassified non-coding RNA (346 nucleotides) under Hevea brasiliensis (rubber tree). Lineage: Eukaryota; Viridiplantae; Streptophyta; Magnoliopsida; Malpighiales; Euphorbiaceae. The record is from RNAcentral.
ACAUCCUUCUGGAAUUACAAGGUGAAUUUUGAUGCUUUGUUUGAUUGGCACAAAAAAAAAAUCUGAAUAACAUUUAUGAUGUCUAAUUAACAGUAUUUGUCUUUGUGAUUUUCAAGGAGACUAGACAAUCAUAUUGUGUUUUUGUCAAGCUUAUUUUUAUUUCAUCUUUUAAGGCUCACAGCUGUCAUAUUAAAUGUGUGGUCACUGCCACAAGUUAGUUCAAUUUUGGAAAUUAUAUUGCCUUGUGACAUUAUGAGAAUUCUAUUUUGCAAGGAUAGAAACAUACUUAUUUAAGGCUGACCUGUGUGUCUCAAACCAAUGUAGAAUAAAAGUAAAAAAAGGGAAA